UGGGUUUUUAGGAUCAUAAUUUCAUUUAAUUAAGUAGGUUUUACGCGAAUAAAUGUGCCGACACUACAAGUAAGGGCGUGUUUGGUUCGAAGUCGGAGUCGGAAUCGCAAUCGGAAUCAAAAUAAGCUGGAAUCGGAAUCGGAAUGACUCAUUACCUAAUUCCGUUUGGUUCAUCACCUGAAUCGGAAUCGGAAUAAAUCAUUCUCAUUGUUGGUGUUUGGUUCAGGUGGAUAUGAAAAACGUAAUCAAAUUAAUAUACGAACGUUAUCUUUAUAAUAUAUUAAUUUGAAUUCAAAUUAAAAAUUAAAUAUUAAAAAUUUAUUAUCAAAAUUUUUAAAUAAUGUCAAAAUUUUAAAUCUAUUUUUUUAAAAAAUAAAUUAAUCUUUGAAGUUGAGUAGAUA
This 401-nucleotide long non-coding RNA is filed under the name Ananas comosus (pineapple). RNAcentral's name for it is "long non-coding RNA (ACOM_LNC016114)". The record is from RNAcentral. Lineage: Eukaryota; Viridiplantae; Streptophyta; Magnoliopsida; Poales; Bromeliaceae.